GAGGAUUUAGCUCAGUGGUAGAGCGCUUGCCUAGCAAGCACAAGGCCCUGGGUUCAGUCCCCAGCUCU
Rattus norvegicus (Norway rat) is the source of this 68-nucleotide non-coding RNA. Lineage: Eukaryota; Metazoa; Chordata; Mammalia; Rodentia; Muridae. The record is from Rfam.